UAUGGCCAUAUCACAAUGAAAAACCAGUUUCUGUUCAAUCAUUGAAGUUAAGCAAUGUUGUGCCUGGUCAGUACCUAGAUGGGCAACUGCUUGGGAAUACCAGAAGCUGUAAG
This is a non-coding RNA of Acanthosepion pharaonis, 113 nucleotides long. Lineage: Eukaryota; Metazoa; Mollusca; Cephalopoda; Sepiida; Sepiidae. The record is from the annotation of a GenBank genome assembly.